AACGAACGCUGGCGGCAGGCCUAACACAUGCAAGUCGAGCGCGCCCUUCGGGGUGAGCGGCGGACGGGUGAGUAACGCGUGGGAACGUGCCCUUUUCUACGGAAUAGCCUCGGGAAACUGAGAGUAAUACCGUAUACGCCCUUUGGGGGAAAGAUUUAUCGGAAAAGGAUCGGCCCGCGUUGGAUUAGGUAGUUGGUGGGGUAAUGGCCUACCAAGCCGACGAUCCAUAGCUGGUUUGAGAGGAUGAUCAGCCACACUGGGACUGAGACACGGCCCAGACUCCGACGGGAGGCAGCAGUGGGGAAUCUUAGACAAUGGGGGCAACCCUGAUCUAGCCAUGCCGCGUGAGUGAUGAAGGCCUUAGGGUUGUAAAGCUCUUUCAGCUGGGAAGAUAAGGACGGUACCAGCAGAAGAAGCCCCGGCUAACUCCGU
Molecule: ribosomal RNA, 432 nt
Filed under: uncultured bacterium
Lineage: Bacteria
Description: partial 16S ribosomal RNA
Rfam family: Bacterial small subunit ribosomal RNA
Source: RNAcentral